GCCACGGUGGUCUAUCGGUUAGAACGCUGGCCUUGUAAUCCUGGAGUCUCGGGUUCGAUUCCCGGCAGUGCCC
This 73-nucleotide transfer RNA is filed under the name Zootermopsis nevadensis. It matches the Rfam family "tRNA". Rfam says of the family: Transfer RNA (tRNA) molecules are approximately 80 nucleotides in length. Lineage: Eukaryota; Metazoa; Arthropoda; Insecta; Blattodea; Termopsidae. The record is from Rfam by way of RNAcentral.